RNAcentral lists this ribosomal RNA (261 nucleotides) under uncultured prokaryote. RNAcentral's name for it is "partial 16S ribosomal RNA". It matches the Rfam family "Bacterial small subunit ribosomal RNA", at positions 524 to 784 of the family's 1533-position model. The record is from RNAcentral.
UACGUAGGUGGCGAGCGUUAUCCGGAUUUACUGGGUGUAAAGGGCGUGUAGGCGGGUUUGCAAGUCGGGUGUGAAAGAUCCAGGCUUAACUUGGAGAGGUCAUCCGAAACUGCAGAUCUUGAGUGCUGGAGAGGAUAGUGGAAUUCCUGGUGUAGCGGUAAAAUGCGUAGAUAUCAGGAGGAACACCAGUGGCGAAGGCGGCUCUCUGGACUGUAACUGACGCUCAUGCGCGAAAGCUGGGGUAGCGAACCGGAUUAGAUA